GAUGAACGCUGGCGGCGUGCCUAAUACAUGCAAGUCGAGCGAACGGACGAGAAGCUUGCUUCUCUGAUGUUAGCGGCGGACGGGUGAGUAACACGUGGAUAACCUCCCUAUAAGACUGGGAUAACUUCGGGAAACCGGCGCUAAUCCCGGAUAAUAUUUUGAACCGCAUGGUUCAAAAGUGAAAGACGGUCUUGCUGUCACUUAUAGAUGGAUCCGCGCUGCAUUAGCUAGUUGGUAAGGUAACGGCUUACCAAGGCAACGAUGCAUAGCCGACCUGAGAGGGUGAUCGGCCGCACUGGAACUGAGACACGGUCCAGAGGCCUACGGGAGGCAGCAGUAGGGAAUCGUCCGCAAUGGGCGAAAGCCUGACGGAGCAACGCCGCGUGAGUGAUGAAGGUCUUCGGAUCGUAAAACUCUGUUAUUAGGGAAGAACAUAUGUGUAAGUAACUGUGCACAUCUUGACGGUACCUAAUCAGAAAGCCACGGCUAACUACGUG
This 497-nucleotide ribosomal RNA is filed under the name uncultured bacterium. RNAcentral describes it as "partial 16S ribosomal RNA". It matches the Rfam family "Bacterial small subunit ribosomal RNA", at positions 28 to 507 of the family's 1533-position model. The record is from RNAcentral.